This 395-nucleotide ribosomal RNA is filed under the name uncultured bacterium. RNAcentral describes it as "partial 16S ribosomal RNA". It matches the Rfam family "Bacterial small subunit ribosomal RNA", at positions 523 to 918 of the family's 1533-position model. The record is from RNAcentral.
AUACGUAGGGUGCAAGCGUUAAUCGGAAUUACUGGGCGUAAAGCGUGCGCAGGCGGAUUUGGAAGACAGAGGGGAAAUCCCCGGGCUUAACCUGGGGACUUCCUUUGGGGCUGCUACGUUAUGGUAAGGCAUGAGGGGAUGUGAUUCUGGGUGAAGCCGGGGAUUUCGUAGAAAUGCGGAGGAACAACGAUGGCGGAGGCAAUCCACUGGGCAUGUACUGACGCUCAUGCACGAAAGCGUGGGGAGCAAACAGGAUUAGAUACCCUGGUAGUCCACGCCCUAAACGAUGGCAACUGGUUGUUGGGUCUUCAUUGACUCAGUAACGAAGCUAACGCGUGAAGUUGACUGUCUGGGGAGUACGGCCGCAAGGUUGAAACUCAAAUGAAUUGACGGGG